RNAcentral lists this ribosomal RNA (253 nucleotides) under uncultured bacterium. RNAcentral describes it as "partial 16S ribosomal RNA". It matches the Rfam family "Bacterial small subunit ribosomal RNA", at positions 524 to 776 of the family's 1533-position model. The record is from RNAcentral.
UACGUAGGGGGCUAGCGUUGUCCGGAUUUAUUGGGCGUAAAGAGCGUGUAGGCGGCCAGGUAGGUCUGCUGUGAAAACUCGAGGCUCAACCUCGAGACGUCGGCGGAAACCAUCUGGCUAGAGUCCGGAAGAGGAGAGUGGAAUUCCUGGUGUAGCGGUGAAAUGCGCAGAUAUCAGGAAGAACACCCGUGGCGAAGGCGGUUCUCCGGGACGGUACUGACGCUGAGACGCGAAAGCGUGGGGAGCGAACAGG